This 511-nucleotide ribosomal RNA is filed under the name uncultured bacterium. RNAcentral describes it as "bacterial SSU rRNA". It matches the Rfam family "Bacterial small subunit ribosomal RNA", at positions 56 to 560 of the family's 1533-position model. The record is from RNAcentral.
UGCAAGUCGAGCGGUAACAGGUGUAGCAAUACAUGCUGACGAGCGGCGAACGGGUGAGUAAUGCUUCGGAAUCUGCCCAAUGGUGGGGAAUAACCAGCCGAAAGGUUGGCUAAUACCGCAUAAGUCCUACGGGGGAAAGCAGGGGAUCGCAAGACCUUGCGCCGAUGGAUGAGCCGAAGUCGGAUUAGCUAGUUGGUAGGGUAACGGCCUACCAAGGCGACGAUCCGUAGCUGGUCUGAGAGGACGACCAGCCACACUGGGACUGAGACACGGCCCAGACUCCUACGGGAGGCAGCAGUGGGGAAUAUUGGACAAUGGGGGAAACCCUGAUCCAGCGACGCCGCGUGUGUGAAGAAGGCCUGCGGGUUGUAAAGCACUUUUAGUGGGGAUGAAAAGCUCAGGGCUAACACCUCUGGGUCUUGACCUAACCCAAAGAAAAAGCACCGGCUAACUCUGUGCCAGCAGCCGCGGUAAUACAGAGGGUGCGAGCGUUAAUCGGAAUUACUGGGCG